This 467-nucleotide ribosomal RNA is filed under the name uncultured bacterium. RNAcentral's name for it is "partial 16S ribosomal RNA". It matches the Rfam family "Bacterial small subunit ribosomal RNA", at positions 29 to 507 of the family's 1533-position model. The record is from RNAcentral.
ACGAACGCUGGCGGCGUGCUUAACCCAUGCAAGUCGCACGGAAAGGCCCUGCUUUUGUGGGGUGCUCGAGUGGCGAACGGGUGAGUAACACGUGAGUAACCUGCCCUUGACUUUGGGAUAACUUCAGGAAACUGGGGCUAAUACCGGAUAGGAGCUCCUGCUGCAUGGUGGGGGUUGGAAAGUUUCGGCGGUUGGGGAUGGACUCGCGGCUUAUCAGCUUGUUGGUGGGGUAGUGGCUUACCAAGGCUUUGACGGGUAGCCGGCCUGAGAGGGUGACCGGCCACAUUGGGACUGAGAUACGGCCCAGACUCCUACGGGAGGCAGCAGUGGGGAAUAUUGCACAAUGGGCGGAAGCCUGAUGCAGCAACGCCGCGUGCGGGAUGACGGCCUUCGAGUUGUAAACCGCUUUCGCCUGUGACGAAGCGUGAGUGACGGUAAUGGGUAAAGAAGCACCGGCUAACUACGUG